This 525-nucleotide ribosomal RNA is filed under the name Lysinibacillus boronitolerans. Its description in RNAcentral is "bacterial SSU rRNA". It matches the Rfam family "Bacterial small subunit ribosomal RNA", at positions 140 to 650 of the family's 1533-position model. The record is from RNAcentral. Lineage: Bacteria; Bacillati; Bacillota; Bacilli; Caryophanales; Bacillaceae.
GGGAUAACUCCGGGAAACCGGGGCUAAUACCGAAUAAUCUCUUUUGCUUCAUGGUGAAAGACUGAAAGACGGUUUCGGCUGUCGCUAUAGGAUGGGCCCGCGGCGCAUUAGCUAGUUGGUGAGGUAACGGCUCACCAAGGCGACGAUGCGUAGCCGACCUGAGAGGGUGAUCGGCCACACUGGGACUGAGACACGGCCCAGACUCCUACGGGAGGCAGCAGUAGGGAAUCUUCCACAAUGGGCGAAAGCCUGAUGGAGCAACGCCGCGUGAGUGAAGAAGGUUUUCGGAUCGUAAAACUCUGUUGUAAGGGAAGAACAAGUACAGUAGUAACUGGCUGUACCUUGACGGUACCUUAUUAGAAAGCCACGGCUAACUACGUGCCAGCAGCCGCGGUAAUACGUAGGUGGCAAGCGUUGUCCGGAAUUAUUGGGCGUAAAGCGCGCGCAGGCGGUCCUUUAAGUCUGAUGUGAAAGCCCACGGCUCAACCGUGGAGGGUCAUUGGAAACUGGGGGGACUUGAGUGCA